UGUAGAUGUAGAGAAAAUCCGAUGUAACCGCUAAUUUCAUACGCAAUAUGGCAUCUAUUUCAUGUUAUAUUACAUCGUCUUGAAAUUACACAGAAACAACGUUACCAUUUUCGAUCACAUAGAAUUUGUGUAAUAAUCACACCAAAACUAAAUAGAUAUUACACAGAAACAGCUGCAACCCUUUCGUUCCGACCUGCUUUAGUGAUAUUACACAACUUCGAUGUCAUUUCGCACUCAACACUAAUGUAAUAAAACAUCUCGCAACACUGCCAUACUUUGUUUUGGUCAGCGGUUAAAGAUGGCCGAUAUGGCAGUAGUUCGCGAUCGCGUUUUUUUUUCGCACGAAUUCAUCUCGCGAAAUACUCGGGAAUCUUACUUAAAUCUGUAAUAAUAAGUGAUCUAUCUAUUCGACAAAUUUAAAAACAUUUCGUUACCGAUGCCAAUUGUAGUGUGGUGAAACAAAAAAGUGAUAAAUUCAAUGACUCAUAAGCCAAGGAACUUACCAAAUUUGUAAUUUCUUCCUGGCAAGUGAAAACAAAAGAUGAUCCAAGCAGACAUCAUUGACCAGCGUAAGCAGGAUUCCCAUUCCAAUCCCCGGAAUCCGGAUAGAGUAGCAAAUGACCGCUUUUGCCCCGGUGGUCUCCCUACUUAUGAUUGCUAGGAGAACCAAGUAGCAGUCGUUCUCUUGCUCGUGAUGAUCCAGUUUACCGGCGGAUUUAGAAAUGGAACCACAAUUUUCGUUCGAUUCUGGAAUGGUGUGCCGUUCCAUCGGUGGCGUAAAUAUACCUCGGACUGUACUGGAGGUGGCAUCAUAUAGACCCAAUACAUCAUGUUGUAUGGAUGAAGGAACUCCCGCACCCACUAAUACAGGACAUGUAAUCACGGCAAUGUGUUUCAAAUGCCAGAAAGUGCUAUCUAGCAUCGGAACGGCGACUACGGUGAAACGGAUUUACACGAAGAACUCGAACGAGCUCUGCGGAUCAUUCCACUGUGCUGAAAGCAUCUAAACAGUACUAGGAACGCCUUCAUGCUAUGUGAACUACAAUGUGAUUACUCGGGAUUAUCUCCUACGUUAGGCGACUCAGGAAUUAUAUUUCAUCAUUUAUAGCUGUUUGAUGCAAUAAAAAUGUGAUAAAUAAUUUGAA
This 1145-nucleotide long non-coding RNA is filed under the name Aedes aegypti (yellow fever mosquito). RNAcentral's name for it is "lncRNA AAEL024817". The record is from RNAcentral. Lineage: Eukaryota; Metazoa; Arthropoda; Insecta; Diptera; Culicidae.